CACAUGAGGAAAAAAAGGAGGCUUUAUGAGUUCCACUGCAGCAAAUUUAAACUCACCUGCCUAGCAGCCCUGAAUGGAAGAACUGAGCUCUCAGCACAGCACUUGAGCUCCUAUAAGAGACAGACUAUCUCCUAAAGCAGAUUCCCGACCCCUGUAUAUC
Molecule: long non-coding RNA, 160 nt
Organism: Sapajus apella (tufted capuchin)
Lineage: Eukaryota; Metazoa; Chordata; Mammalia; Primates; Cebidae
Exons: 3
Source: RefSeq, a predicted model, not a curated record